UACGGGGGGGGCAAGCGUUGUUCGGAAUUACUGGGCGUAAAGGGCCAGUAGGCGGCCAACUAAGUCGGAUGUGAAAGCCCGGAGCUCAACUCCGGAACUGCCUUUAAGACUGCAUCGCUAGAACGAUGGAGAGGUGAGUGGAAUUCCGAGUGUAGAGGUGAAAUUCGUAGAUAUUCGGAAGAACACCAGUGGCGAAGGCGACUCACUGGACAUCUGUUGACGCUGAGGUGCGAAAGCGUGGGGAGCAAACAGG
RNAcentral lists this ribosomal RNA (253 nucleotides) under uncultured bacterium. RNAcentral's name for it is "partial 16S ribosomal RNA". It matches the Rfam family "Bacterial small subunit ribosomal RNA", at positions 524 to 776 of the family's 1533-position model. The record is from RNAcentral.